GCUGGGUGAAGCCGGAGUUGAGGCAGCCACGGGCUAUGCGCCUCCAGAGGAGAUCACGGCUACUGAGGAAGCGCAGGCGGCGGCAGACCUGGCCCAGGCGGCCCAAGGCCUGCGCGUCCAGGAGCCUGGAGUACUGACAACGCAGAAGGAUUCUGGUCCAAAAUGGCAAAGUAGCCCUCAACAGACAGUGGAGCAGGAAAAUAUGAGUCUAGUGUUGUGUUAUUCUUUCUUAUAGUACUUUCCACUCUACAGAAGCCUGAGAUGCUUGGGGAAACUCCUCCCUCAAAAUGAAAAAAUAGAUAAACUGUAAGAAGUGCAUCAUCUGCCUAGAAUGCUUUGAACAGGUAUCACUUACUUACCCACCACAGCCUACAUCUCCUUUUGCACAGUGGAGUAGGAAAAUAAAUGUCAGCAUAUAAUGAGGUUACCAUAGCAUACAGGCCUUUAGACAGUACUCGCAUCCUGUUCCAGAAGGUCAUCUUGUCUGUGUAAUCUCAAGCACUCAAAUAUUCAUACAACUAAAUCACCAACUCUGGAAGCUUAUACGUGAGACAUUCAAAACUGCUGGCUGAGGAACUGUCUGGUCUACUUACACUGAGUUUCAAUACACCCUGGAAGUCAGGGAAGUUCCAGAAGGCAGCAAAUGUUUUAUCAGCAUUUAUAAUGAAUGAAUCAGAUGGCCCAAGUAAUUAAAAAUUUCUCAACCUAAGUUUGAGCUCAGGUGAAAUAACAGCACAUCUGGUACAGGACUUAAGUAGCAAACUGAAAGGGAGUUUGCUGGAAGAAUUUUGCUUAACAUGAGAUUACGGAAACUUGGUGUGAAUGCAGUUUUAUAUCAAUAUCUUUUUGAUUACAUUAAACAUAGCUCUUUUGUAAUAGACUUUGGCAAUGUCUGAAACAUUAAAUUUAUUAAAAACUGAAUGACUUCUCCAUCCUAAA
Phalacrocorax carbo (great cormorant) is the source of this 939-nucleotide non-coding RNA. The record is from RefSeq and is a predicted model, not a curated record. Lineage: Eukaryota; Metazoa; Chordata; Aves; Suliformes; Phalacrocoracidae.